Long non-coding RNA from Quercus lobata, 298 nucleotides. RefSeq lists it as uncharacterized. The record is from RefSeq and is a predicted model, not a curated record. The transcript is spliced from 3 exons. NCBI's taxonomy places the organism in Eukaryota, Viridiplantae, Streptophyta, Magnoliopsida, Fagales, Fagaceae.
AUGAAAACUGGAAAUUCUCAUAAAAGCAAGAAGGUGUCCCAAAUAUGUAUCAUGCAUAACAUACCAUAAAGGUGAUCAGCCAAUGAUCCCCCAGAGUAUACAAAGAAGAGUUCAGAUAGUGGACCUCAUUGAUAAAAGAAUCAGCCCCAAGUUGGCUUUUAUCAAACCUCACUUUCACGGCUACUAAUUUUCCAUCUCGAAGCUUUCCAAGGAAUACUGCAAGAGAUAAGAUAAGAGCAAGUACUGCUCCACCAACUGCACCAGCUAUAAUUGCUAUAUGAUUAUGUCCACUUUGCUU